RNAcentral lists this ribosomal RNA (257 nucleotides) under uncultured prokaryote. RNAcentral's name for it is "partial 16S ribosomal RNA". It matches the Rfam family "Bacterial small subunit ribosomal RNA", at positions 524 to 780 of the family's 1533-position model. The record is from RNAcentral.
UACGGAGGGUGCAAGCGUUAUCCGGAAUCACUGGGUUUAAAGGGUGCGUAGGCGGUUAUGUAAGUCAGGGGUGAAAGGUCACAGCUUAACUGUGAGAUUGCCUUUGAAACUGUGUAACUUGAAUCAGAUAGAGGUUGGUGGAAUGCGACAUGUAGCGGUGAAAUGCAUAGAUAUGUCGUGGAAUACCGAUUGCGAAGGCAGCUAACUGGGUCUUGAUUGACGCUGAGGCACGAAAGCGUGGGGAGCGAACAGGAUUA